AUGGUGAUGCAACAGUUCGGUGAUGCCGCAUUUGCUUUGCAGUUACAUCUAUUGAUUGCAAUCCAUUCCCGGCUCUCUGCACCUUACGGGGCCGGAGCAGCGCCAGCCGAAUGCAGGCUUUGCCUGCCGAGCCUGCGUAUUGCAAGGAGCCUUCGGACAYGUCCGCCUUGGGGACGGCGCUCCGCAGCCCAGCAGCAACCGCCGCGCAGUGGGGUGGGACUGGCUCCGGCCACCCGGUGGCACAUCCCAGCGUUGGCUGCCACACAGGCGGUGCGGGACCCAGCAGGCAGGCAGUGCGGCACGGCACACGGCACACGGCACACGGCGCACGGCGCACGGCACACGGCACGGUGUGGCACGGCCGUACCUGCCAGCCGCUCGCUGCUCCCGCUGCCGGCAGGAGCCCAGCGGGUUCGUGCUGUGCUCGCCACCGCACGCAGCGAUGGGGCGAAGGGGCUGAGGUCUGCGCGGCGGCAGGUCCCYGGGGGAGCCCGGCUGCCUCCUGGGGCGCAGGCUGCCAGCGAGCCGAAGCCCUCGCAGGUUUUACCUUCUCCUAAUCACGGCGUGAGACUUGCUGACCGCCCGGUCUGGAGCAGCGCUAGCAAGACGAUGUGCUCGCCUCAAAGCUCUCCGUCUCAGCUCCGAGGCUGGAAACCCUCGGCAGCCCCCGGGGAUUUUACGGACGGUGAUGCAUCCCGGAGCCCUUGGUGCCGGCCCCGAGGGUGCAAGCGCAGCCCGCUCAUCCCUGCGCCCGGGCGAGGAGCAGCGCUGGCUGCCAGGGAGCCGUGCCUCGGCACGCCGGGACGCACCGCAGGGCAUGGUGAGGGGUCCUGGAGGGGACACGGGGYGGCGGGGGCCAUCGCGCCUUGCCUCCAGCCCUGGCAGCCCCUGUGCACGCRGGAGCCGGCCUUCUCCCGGUGGAUUUCCCGGGAAACUUCUGCCUCCUCCGCCCAGGAAGGAGGCUUCAACGGCAGGAGGAAGUGCAAAAAACAACCUCAGCUGCAGGUCUGGGGCUGA
Molecule: long non-coding RNA, 1017 nt
Filed under: Apteryx haastii (Great spotted kiwi)
Lineage: Eukaryota; Metazoa; Chordata; Aves; Apterygiformes; Apterygidae
Description: lncRNA (ENSAHAG00000012940.1)
Source: RNAcentral